GCGAGGGUGUCGGAGUUUGGUCAAACGACUACGGUUGAGGGCCGUAGGCCUUAGUGGCUGCGCGGGUUCGAAUCCCGUCCCUCGCA
Molecule: transfer RNA, 86 nt
Filed under: archaeon
Lineage: Archaea
Also listed under: 1 other name
Description: tRNA-Leu
Rfam family: tRNA
About the family: Transfer RNA (tRNA) molecules are approximately 80 nucleotides in length. Their secondary structure includes four short double-helical elements and three loops (D, anti-codon, and T loops). Further hydrogen bonds mediate the characteristic L-shaped molecular structure. tRNAs have two regions of fundamental functional importance: the anti-codon, which is responsible for specific mRNA codon recognition, and the 3' end, to which the tRNAs corresponding amino acid is attached (by aminoacyl-tRNA synthetases). tRNAs cope with the degeneracy of the genetic code in two manners: having more than one tRNA (with a specific anti-codon) for a particular amino acid; and 'wobble' base-pairing, i.e. permitting non-standard base-pairing at the 3rd anti-codon position.
Source: RNAcentral